AGCCACGGCUAAUCGGGUGCCAGCAGGCGCGGUAAUACGGGAGUGGCAAGCGUUAUCCGGAAUUAUUGGGCGUAAAGCGUCCGCAGGCGGCCCAACAAGUCUGCUGUUAAAAAGUGGAGCUUAACUCCAUCAUGGCAGUGGAAACUGUUGGGCUAGAGUGUGGUAGGGGCAGAGGGAAUUCCCGGUGUAGCGGUGAAAUGCGUAGAUAUCGGGAAGAACACCAGUGGCGAAGGCGCUCUGCUGGGCCAUCACUGACGCUCAUGGACGAAAGCCAGGGGAGCGAAAGGGAUUAGAUACCCCUGUAGUCCUGGCCGUAAACGAUGAACACUAGGUGUCGGGGGAAUCGACCCCUCCGGUGUCGUAGCCAACGCGUUAACUGUU
This 381-nucleotide ribosomal RNA is filed under the name uncultured bacterium. RNAcentral describes it as "bacterial SSU rRNA". It matches the Rfam family "Bacterial small subunit ribosomal RNA", at positions 488 to 868 of the family's 1533-position model. The record is from RNAcentral.